This is a long non-coding RNA of Entelurus aequoreus (snake pipefish), 1077 nucleotides long. RefSeq lists it as uncharacterized. The transcript has 3 exons. The record is from RefSeq and is a predicted model, not a curated record. NCBI's taxonomy places the organism in Eukaryota, Metazoa, Chordata, Actinopteri, Syngnathiformes, Syngnathidae.
UGUCAAUCUCGCCAGUGAGCACACAAAUGGUUUUUCUUCCGUCUCUGUUCUCACUCUCGCUCGUGCUCCGAGCUGACAACUCUCCACCCUCAACCACCAUCAACAACUCUCGUUCUCCUUCCCGACUGCUGCCUUUAACAGAGCGACAGGAACACUAAUACCAAUGUCAAAACGUGGACCUUGGGGUGUUGUGUUUUCCCGGAACGCAAAGGAAAGUUGGCGCGGGCAAGGCGUGAAUGGAGUCGGAAGUCGUUACUCACGACGCUGAAGCUGGCUUUGGAAGCCUUUGAGUGUGAAGCUGGCAGGUCACAGUCGUGACAGCACCAAUUACUUGCAUCACCUCCCGAUCAAUCUUCCUUAAAGACGCCCGUACGUCCUCCUUUUUUGGGGCUAAAAAUACCAACCUCACAAUCGUUUGCGUACUACGCCGGCUUAUAACGAGGGGCGGCAUCGCCGUGCCAACCUGGAACCGGCUGAAAUCCCCCCUACUUUAGUAAGUCUUUAAUGUUGUCGGGACGCUUCUCGCGUUAGCGUUAGCAUUGGCAAAAAGUUUCCAUGCAGACUAGGGAUGAUGUUCGAAACCGAUUCUCCCGGUUGUUCGAUAAGAAAAGAACCGAUUCCAUGGACUCGAAUCCCUUUUUGAGAACCGGUUCCCGUUAUCGAGACCACUAUAGUAAAGAAAAAGAGUUGGUUCUUUAUUCGAAUCCCUGAGAUCCCACAGGAAAUGCCCUGUGGGACAGCAAUGUUAUGCCCAUUUGAUUGUAGACUCUUACUGACACCUUGUGGCGAUAUGAAAAUACUACGGGUCAUUAGUUUGGGCACUUCCAGGUUGAGACAAUUGAGAAGUAGACAAGUUGUGUUAGCUCCUACAAGCCUUGGAAAAGAUAAGUCUGUAAGUAAACUGUUUAACUUGUUUAUGUAACUUAAUAUUAAUGUGGAAAGUGGUUCAAUUUGAUACUAAGAUGUUUAUUGAAAAACUAUUUUUGUGCACUGUUUCAAUGGAUGUUUUGAGGACUUAAAAUGGCUGCCAGUCGUGUAUUUCCACCAUCGAAAUAGUUUCAACACUCAGAAGUAUUU